AUUGAACGCUGGCGGCAUGCCUUACACAUGCAAGUCGAACGGCAGCACGGGAGCAAUCCUGGUGGCGAGUGGCGAACGGGUGAGUAAUACAUCGGAACGUGCCCAGUAGUGGGGGAUAACCCGGCGAAAGCCGGACUAAUACCGCAUACGACCUACGGGUGAAAGCAGGGGAUCGCAAGACCUUGCGCUAUCGGAGCGGCCGAUGUCAGAUUAGCUUGUUGGCGGGGAAAAGCCCACCAAGGCGACGAUCUGUAGCUGGUCUGAGAGGACGACCAGCCACACUGGGACUGAGACACGGCCCAGACUCCUACGGGAGGCAGCAGUGGGGAAUUUUGGACAAUGGGCGCAAGCCUGAUCCAGCCAUGCCGCGUGC
RNAcentral lists this ribosomal RNA (373 nucleotides) under uncultured bacterium. Its description in RNAcentral is "bacterial SSU rRNA". It matches the Rfam family "Bacterial small subunit ribosomal RNA", at positions 29 to 404 of the family's 1533-position model. The record is from RNAcentral.